GACGUAGGGCGCGAGCGUUGUCCGGAUUUAUUGGGCGUAAAGAGCUCGUAGGCGGUCUGUCGCGUCUGCUGUGAAAACUCGGGGCUUAACCCCGGGCCUGCAGGUGGGUACGGGCAGACUAGAGUGGCGGUAGGGGAGACUGGAAUUCCUGGUGUAGCGGUGAAAUGCGUAGAGAUCGGGGAGGAACACCAGAGGCGAAGGCGGCGACCUGGACAGGCACGUGACACUCAA
Molecule: ribosomal RNA, 231 nt
Filed under: uncultured bacterium
Lineage: Bacteria
Description: partial 16S ribosomal RNA
Rfam family: Bacterial small subunit ribosomal RNA
Source: RNAcentral